This is a long non-coding RNA of Lycium barbarum (goji berry), 1476 nucleotides long. RefSeq lists it as uncharacterized. The record is from RefSeq and is a predicted model, not a curated record. The transcript is spliced from 5 exons. Lineage: Eukaryota; Viridiplantae; Streptophyta; Magnoliopsida; Solanales; Solanaceae.
GAGUCCCUUGAACGACCAGGGUACUCCUGCAAUUCGUAUUGAGUGCAGCUAUUGUGCAAUGUGUCCUUUUCACCCACUCUCCCAUGGAAUUUUGGCUAAAGUUAUAAGCUGGGAUAUCCAGCACUAAUUUUUAUAUCAUAUUUGGUAGAAGGUAUAAAUUUAUCCUGGAAUAAAUUUAUACCUUGUAACAAAUAUGGUACAAAAAUUAGUGUAGGAAUAUCCCAGCUUAUACCUUCUUAUCUCACUUAUACUGAAAUUAUUAACGACCCCUUAGAUUAUUAUUAUGUCGCCGUCGCCGUAGGGCUUUAUCUUGGAGUUUGCUGAUUUUGGAUUCAUUGCAUGUCAGCAUUGUUGAUUCAAUUGCACAGACGGAAGAAGGCAGCAACAUAGAAAAAAGGAGCUAUGUAUUGUGUACUUUCGGAGAAUUCUUGGCCUUUUAGAUGCAGGUCAGAGCAUCAAAAGCGGUUGGAAAUUGGGAAAGUUGCUAUUCCUCCUGAUUCAAUUUAUGUGAAGCUAUUUCCUUAUUAAUUCGUGUAAAAAAGAAUGACCUCUUUUUAUAUUUGAAAACAUUUUACCUUUAUGCAAUGAUUUAUAGUCACACAAAAUAUACGUCACUCAUUUUACACCACAAAUUUAAAAGUUUUCUCUACUUUUUUAAACUCCGUGCCCAGUCAAAUGGGUUCACAUAAAUUGAAACGGAGGGAGUAUUUUACCAGCAGGUUUCUAUAAGGAUGAAAAAGAAAACAAGCCUCACGUUCCUUGGCGUAUGUAUGUCUCAGGUGCAGGUCUUCCUCAGUUAUGACGGUUUUGCAACUAGAUUGGUCUUUAAAUUUGGUCUGCCUUUAUGCUUUUCCACCAUUUUACGGAUCUUAAUUUCUCAAUACAUGAUAUUAUCAGAUAUUUGUGAUUUAUUUAAUUAAUAUGGUCUGAAUUUUCUGAUAGCACAGAUUUUUUGCAUGUGAAAAUUGCUGGAGAUGGGGGAAAAAUUGAGACUGCUUCGACUGUACAAGGUCAAUUUCGGGCCACCAAACCCUGUAACUGAUGAGAAGGUCCUAUGGAGCGUGUACGUUGUCACACUCCCUGCCUGAUGACCGGGGAGCAGGUUCCCUAUGGGAAGGGGGGCGGACGACCAUCUCAAGGCACAUCACGACCUACAGUUUCAUUUCGUGACAAAGCUCCUGAAGAUAUUCGAUGUUGUACUCUCAAAUUAAGUUGGUCGUUCUAUCCUAUCACACCCCUGAUGAUGUGAAUUGCUACUCUGCAUGAGGACUCAAUGAAGAAUGGAACGUCUAGGGAAUGCUUUAUGAUCUCAAUGUGAAUGAGCUCCUGAACUGUAAAUUUCUGAAAUAUCUUAUGUAAUUGAGUUACUAAAUUAUUUGAUUACUAAACAAGCUCAUUGUUAUUCUCAAAGUUCACUUAAAUACCUUUGUCUGCACUUAUUGUUAGUCUUAAAUACAAAAUUAUGAAGUUAAAGGU